Small nuclear RNA from Erinaceus europaeus (western European hedgehog), 93 nucleotides. The record is from Ensembl. Lineage: Eukaryota; Metazoa; Chordata; Mammalia; Eulipotyphla; Erinaceidae.
AUAUUUUGGUAGUACAUAUACUAAAACUGGAAAAGAUUAGCACAGCCCCUGUGCAAGGACGUCAUGCAAAUGUGUGAACUGUACCAUAAAAAA